AAAUUGAAGAGUUUGAUCAUGGCUCAGAUUGAACGCUGGCGGCAGGCCUAACACAUGCAAGUCGAGCGGUAGCACAGAGAGCUUGCUCUCGGGUGACGAGCGGCGGACGGGUGAGUAAUGUCUGGGAAACUGCCUGAUGGAGGGGGAUAACUACUGGAAACGGUAGCUAAUACCGCAUAAUGUCGCAAGACCAAAGUGGGGGACCUUCGGGCCUCAUGCCAUCAGAUGUGCCCAGAUGGGAUUAGCUAGUAGGUGGGGUAACGGCUCACCUAGGCGACGAUCCCUAGCUGGUCUGAGAGGAUGACCAGCCACACUGGAACUGAGACACGGUCCAGACUCCUACGGGAGGCAGCAGUGGGGAAUAUUGCACAAUGGGCGCAAGCCUGAUGCAGCCAUGCCGCGUGUGUGAAGAAGGCCUUCGGGUUGUAAAGCACUUUCAGCGGGGAGGAAGGCGUUAAGGUUAAUAACCUUGGCGAUUGACGUUACCCGCAGAAGAAGCACCGGCUAACUCCGUGCCAGCAGCCGCGGUAAUACGGAGGGUGCAAGCGUUAAUCGGAAUUACUGGGCGUAAAGCGCACGCAGGCGGUCUGUCAAGUCGGAUGUGAAAUCCCCGGGCUCAACCUGGGAACUGCAUUCGAAACUGGCAGGCUAGAGUCUUGUAGAGGGGGGUAGAAUUCCAGGUGUAGCGGUGAAAUGCGUAGAGAUCUGGAGGAAUACCGGUGGCGAAGGCGGCCCCCUGGACAAAGACUGACGCUCAGGUGCGAAAGCGUGGGGAGCAAACAGGAUU
Molecule: ribosomal RNA, 787 nt
Filed under: Klebsiella quasipneumoniae subsp. similipneumoniae
Lineage: Bacteria; Pseudomonadati; Pseudomonadota; Gammaproteobacteria; Enterobacterales; Enterobacteriaceae
Description: bacterial SSU rRNA
Rfam family: Bacterial small subunit ribosomal RNA
Source: RNAcentral